AUAUCAAUAAGCGGAGGAAAAGAAACUAACAAGGAUUCCCCUAGUAACUGCGAGUGAAGCGGGAAAAGCUCAAAUUUAAAAUCUGGCGUAAGCCCGAGUUGUAAUCUAGAGAAGUGUUUUCAGCCGCAGGCCUCGGACAAGUCCCUUGGAACAGGGCGUCAUAGAGGGUGAGAAUCCCGUCCUUGCCGAGUUUCCUGUGUCUAUGUGAUACGCUCUCGAAGAGUCGAGUUGUUUGGGAAUGCAGCUCAAAAUGGGUGGUAAACUCCAUCUAAAGCUAAAUAUUGGCGAGAGACCGAU
RNAcentral lists this ribosomal RNA (297 nucleotides) under uncultured Dacrymycetes. RNAcentral's name for it is "partial 28S ribosomal RNA". It matches the Rfam family "Eukaryotic large subunit ribosomal RNA", at positions 40 to 338 of the family's 3401-position model. Lineage: Eukaryota; Fungi; Basidiomycota; Dacrymycetes. The record is from RNAcentral.